GUCCUACGGGGGGCAGCAGUAGGGAAUUUUCGUCAAUGGGCGCAAGCCUGAACGAGCAAUGCCGCGUGAACGAGGAAGGUCUUCGGAUCGUAAAGUUCUGUUGAAGGGGAAAAAGAGCGGAGAGAGGAAAUGCUUUCUGAUUGAUAUUACCCUUCGAGGAAGUCACGGCUAACUCCGUGCCAGCAGCCGCGGUAAUACGGAGGAUGCGAGCGUUAUCCGGAUUUAUUGGGUUUAAAGGGUGCGCAGGCGGAGGUGCAAGUCAGCGGUCAAAUUGCGGGGCUCAACCCCGUACUGCCGUUGAAACU
Molecule: ribosomal RNA, 305 nt
Filed under: uncultured bacterium
Lineage: Bacteria
Description: bacterial SSU rRNA
Rfam family: Bacterial small subunit ribosomal RNA
Source: RNAcentral